AGAGCUAAGUAGAAACACUGUGGCCAAGGAUCUGUUGAAAACCUUGCAGGGAUGGGAACUCAAACACACUUUGCAGCAGAGAAACUGCAUAGCACCUGUCCACCAGGAGAGAUAGGAGAUGACUUACUGCUGAGUCAAAAACUGUGCUGAAAAUCAUUCUUCUCAGAUAUGGCCUUCUCCCAGCAUGCUCUGAAGUAUGGGGUUACUCUUUGCCAGGCAAAGGACUGUGUCUUCCCCCUUGGUAGGGCUCUGUCAUUCCACUCCUGCAGACAGUUGAGGUUCUCCAGAAUGGCAGCACAAACACAAUGUAAACUUGCAAUCAUAAUUUAGCUGGAUAGGAAGAAUUAUCAAGACAGAAGAUCCUGUACUUUGUAGACCUGUCAUCACCCACCAGAAAUUUCCAGAAGCAAUAUGGAUAAAGGAAUGUGAGGAUCACAGUGUGAUUUCACUUCAAUAAAGCAAAAAGGGAUUCAGAUUCUAA
Cyanistes caeruleus (blue tit) is the source of this 481-nucleotide non-coding RNA. Lineage: Eukaryota; Metazoa; Chordata; Aves; Passeriformes; Paridae. The record is from RefSeq and is a predicted model, not a curated record.